Ribosomal RNA from Leeuwenhoekiella blandensis MED217, 2816 nucleotides. It matches the Rfam family "Bacterial large subunit ribosomal RNA". Lineage: Bacteria; Pseudomonadati; Bacteroidota; Flavobacteriia; Flavobacteriales; Flavobacteriaceae. The record is from Rfam.
AAUAAGCUAAAUAAGGGCGUAUGGGGAAUGCCUAGGCUCUCAGAGGCGAUGAAGGACGUGAUAAGCUGCGAAAAGCUGCGGGGAUUGGCACAUACAAAUUGAUCCGCAGAUAUCCGAAUGGGGCAACCCACUAUACUGAAGGUAUAGUAUCCGCAAGGAGGCAAACCCGGAGAACUGAAACAUCUAAGUACCCGGAGGAAGAGAAAACAAUAGUGAUUCCGAUAGUAGCGGCGAGCGAACUCGGAAUAGCCCAAACCGGUUCUGUUACGGCAGGAUCGGGGUUGUAGGACCACGACAUUUUAUGCGUAAUGAAUUAGAAUCCUUUGGAAAGAGGAGCCAUAGACGGUGAUAGCCCGGUAUAGGUAAAGAGCGUUAUAGAUAGUGGUAUCCUGAGUAGUGCGGGGCACGUGAAACCCUGUAUGAAUCUGGCGGGACCAUCCGCUAAGGCUAAAUACUCCUGAGAGACCGAUAGUGAACCAGUACCGUGAGGGAAAGGUGAAAAGAACCCUGAACAAGGGAGUGAAAUAGACCCUGAAACCAUACGCUUACAAGCGGUCGGAGCCCCUUUGGGGUGACGGCGUGCCUUUUGCAUAAUGAGCCUACGAGUUACUUUAUCUAGCAAGGUUAAGAUGUUCAGCAUCGGAUCCGUAGCGAAAGCGAGUCUUAAUAGGGCGUAUAGUUAGGUUGAGUAGACGCGAAACCGUGUGAUCUACCCUUGGGCAGGUUGAAGCUGUGGUAACACAUAGUGGAGGACCGAACCCGUUGACGUUGAAAAGUCUUGGGAUGACCUGAGGGUAGGGGUGAAAGGCCAAUCAAACUCGGAAAUAGCUCGUACUCCCCGAAAUGCAUUUAGGUGCAGCGUUGAUUUAUAGUUUUAUAGAGGUAGAGCUACUGAUUGGAUGCGGGGGCUUCACCGCCUACCAAUUCCUGACAAACUCCGAAUGCUAUAAAAUGUUAAUCAGCAGUGAGGGCAUGGGUGCUAAGGUCCAUGUCCGAGAGGGAAAGAACCCAGACCAUCAGCUAAGGUCCCCAAAUGUAUGUUAAGUUGAAAAAACGCGGUUGGACUGCCCAGACAGCUAGGAUGUUGGCUUGGAAGCAGCCAUUCAUUUAAAGAGUGCGUAACAGCUCACUAGUCGAGCGGUCCGGCAUGGAUAAUAAUCGGGCAUAAACAUACUACCGAAGCUAUGGCAUCGUAAGAUGGGUAGGGGAGCAUUGUAACAAAGUUGAAGGUUUACUGUGAGGUAAGCUGGAUUGGUUACAAAAGAAAAUGUAGGCAUAAGUAACGAUAAUGCGGGCGAGAAACCCGCACACCGAAAGACCAAGGUUUCCCCGGCCAUGCUAAUCAGCCGGGGGUCAGUCGGGACCUAACGCGAACCCGAAAGGGGUAGUGGAUGGACAACAGGUUAAUAUUCCUGUACCUGCUCACAUUAAAAGUGACGGAGGAUUAAAUUUGGUGCGUGCUGACGGAAUAGCACGUUGAAGCUACUUAACGUAGUGAUAGUACACCACGGCUACGGCUACGGUGAUAAUCCAGAGGAGAUACUUCCAAGAAAAGCGAGUGAAGCAGCCCGUACCGUAAACCGACACAGGUGGUUGGGAUGAGGAUUCUAAGGUGCUCGAGAGAUUCAUGGCUAAGGAACUAGGCAAAAUCGACCCGUAACUUCGGGAGAAGGGUCGCCCCACUCCGGUGGGGCCGCAGUGAAGAGGUCCAGGCGACUGUUUAUCAAAAACACAGGGCUCUGCGAAAUCGAAAGAUGAAGUAUAGGGCCUGACACCUGCCCGGUGCCGGAAGGUUAAGAGGAGAUGUUAGCAUUUGCGACGCAUUGAAUUGAAGCCCCGGUAAACGGCGGCCGUAACUAUAACGGUCCUAAGGUAGCGAAAUUCCUUGUCGGGUAAGUUCCGACCUGCACGAAUGGUGCAACGAUCUGGACACUGUCUCGGCCAUGAGCUCGGUGAAAUUGUAGUAUCGGUGAAGAUGCCGAUUACCCGCUAUGGGACGAAAAGACCCCGUGCACCUUUACUAUAGCUUAGUAUUGACUUUGGACAAGUGAUGUGUAGGAUAGGUGGGAGACUUUGAAGCUGCGUCGCCAGGCGUGGUGGAGUCAUUGUUGAAAUACCACCCUUUACUUGUUUGAAGCCUAACCCAUAUUAUGGGGACAGUGCUUGGUGGGUAGUUUGACUGGGGUGGUCGCCUCCAAAAGAGUAACGGAGGCUUCUAAAGGUUCCCUCAACACGGUUGGCAAUCGUGUGUAGCGUGCAAUGGCAUAAGGGAGCUUGACUGAGAGACAUACAGGUCGAUCAGGUACGAAAGUAGAGCAUAGUGAUCCGGUGGUUCCGCAUGGAAGGGCCAUCGCUCAAAGGAUAAAAGGUACGCCGGGGAUAACAGGCUGAUCUCCCCCAAGAGCUCAUAUCGACGGGGGGGUUUGGCACCUCGAUGUCGGCUCGUCACAUCCUGGGGCUGGAGAAGGUCCCAAGGGUUGGGCUGUUCGCCCAUUAAAGUGGCACGCGAGCUGGGUUCAGAACGUCGUGAGACAGUUCGGUCUCUAUCUAUAGUGGGCGCUAGAAAUUUGAGUGGAUCUGACCCUAGUACGAGAGGACCGGGUUGGACCGACCGCUGGUGUACCUGUUGUUCCGCCAGGAGCAUUGCAGGGUAGCUAUGUCGGGAAGGGAUAAGCGCUGAAAGCAUAUAAGCGCGAAACCCACCACAAGAUGAGAUUUCUUUAAAGGGCCGUGGGAGACGACCACGUUGAUAGGCUAUAGGUGUAAAGGCAGUAAUGUCAUAGCCGAGUAGUACUAAUAACCCGUAAGCUUAUGUA